RNAcentral lists this non-coding RNA (322 nucleotides) under Trichobilharzia regenti. RNAcentral describes it as "Eukaryotic large subunit ribosomal RNA". It matches the Rfam family "Eukaryotic large subunit ribosomal RNA", at positions 24 to 314 of the family's 3401-position model. Lineage: Eukaryota; Metazoa; Platyhelminthes; Trematoda; Strigeidida; Schistosomatidae. The record is from Rfam by way of RNAcentral.
CCCGCUGAACUUAAGCAUAUCACUAAGCGGAGGAAAAGAAACUAACAAGGAUUCCCUUAGUACCUGCGAGUGAAUAAGGAUUAGCACAGCACUGAUGCCUGCGGUUAUUUAACUGCAAGGCAAUGUGGUGUUUAGGUUUGUUCUUGGCAUUACACUGCUCUGUCCUAAGUCCAGCAAUGAGUACGGCAUACCAUUCUGACCCAGAGAGGGUGAAAGGCCCGUGGAGGGUAUAGACCAAGCAUGACAAUUUUGUCCAAAGCUAACUUUGGAAUCGGGUUGUUUGAGAAUGAAGCCCAGAUUAACUCUAUUCAUUCUCGUCUCU